This 1409-nucleotide ribosomal RNA is filed under the name Pteronarcella californica. RNAcentral describes it as "SSU rRNA". It matches the Rfam family "Eukaryotic small subunit ribosomal RNA", at positions 573 to 1803 of the family's 1831-position model. Lineage: Eukaryota; Metazoa; Arthropoda; Insecta; Plecoptera; Pteronarcyidae. The record is from RNAcentral.
GCCGCGGUAAUUCCAGCUCCAAUAGCGUAUAUUAAAGUUGUUGCGGUUAAAAAGCUCGUAGUUGGACUUGUGUCCCACGCCGUCAGUUCGUGGCCCGUCCACGUAACUGCACGGUUAUGUGAGUGGGACGUCCAGCCGGUGGGUCGUCAGGUCGCCGGGCUGGCCGCGCCCCUUGGCGGUCAACCCCGCGCUCGGGCCGUGUCGUCGUCGUCGGCGCAAGCCUCGGCGUCGGCCGCCAGUGUCGCGGGGCCCGUCUCGCAGGGUGUCGCCGCGUCGGCCCGCGGUGCCGGACCCAUGUUACUCGUCUCGGUGCUCUUAAUCGAGUGUCUUGACGGGCCGGCUCGUUUACUUUGAACAAAUUAGAGUGCUUAAAGCAGGCCAAUAUACGCCUGAAUAUUGUGUGCAUGGAAUAAUGGAAUAGGAUCUCGGUUCUAUUUUGUUGGUUUUCUGAACCAGAGAUAAUGAUUAAUAGAGACUGACGGGGGCAUUCGUAUUGCGACGUUAGAGGUGAAAUUCUUGGAUCGUCGCAAGACGAACCGAAGCGAAAGCAUUUGCCAAGAAUGUUUUCCUUAAUCAAGAACGAAAGUUAGAGGUUCGAAGGCGAUCAGAUACCGCCCUAGUUCUAACCAUAAACGAUGCCAACUAGCGAUCCGCCGGUGUUCCUCCGAUGACCCGGCGGGCAGCUUCCGGGAAACCAAAGUGUUUGGGUUCCGGGGGAAGUAUGGUUGCAAAGCUUGAAACUUAAAGGAAUUGACGGAAGGGCACCACCAGGAGUGGAGCCUGCGGCUUAAUUUGACUCAACACGGGAAACCUCACCAGGCCCGGACACUGGAAGGAUUGACAGAUUGAUAGCUCUUUCUUGAUUCAGUGGGUGGUGGUGCAUGGCCGUUCUUAGUUGGUGGAGCGAUUUGUCUGGUUAAUUCCGAUAACGAACGAGACUCUGGCCUGCUAACUAGUCGCACAUUGACGACAUCCGCAUUCGUGCUGUCGGCGACAAAUAUAAACUCUUCUUAGAGGGACAGGCGGCUUCUAGCCGCACGAGAUUGAGCAAUAACAGGUCUGUGAUGCCCUUAGAUGUUCUGGGCCGCACGCGCGCUACACUGAAGGAAUCAACGUGUGUUUUCCCUUGACCGAGAGGUCCGGGUAACCCGCUGAAACUCCUUCGUGCUAGGGAUCGGGGCUUGCAAUUCUUCCCCGUGAACGAGGAAUUCCCAGUAAGCGCGAGUCAUAAGCUCGCGUUGAUUACGUCCCUGCCCUUUGUACACACCGCCCGUCGCUACUACCGAUUGAAUGAUUUAGUGAGGUCUUCGGACCGACGCGCGGCGGCGCUCGCGAGAGCCCGUCGAUGUUCGUCGGAAAGAUGAUCAAACUUGAUUAUUUAGAGGAAGUAAAAGUCGUAACAAGGUUUC